CCCUUAGAUGUUCUGGGCCGCACGCGCGCUACACUGAUGCAUUCAACGAGCCUAUCCUUGACCGACAGGUCCGGGUAAUCUUUGAAUCUGCAUCGUGACGGGGAUAGAUUAUUGCAAUUAUUAAUCUUCAACGAGGAAUUCCUAGUAAGCGCGAGUCAUCAGCUCGCGCUGAUUACGUCCCUGCCCUUUGUACACACCGCCCGUCGCUACUACCGAUUGGAUGGCUUAGCGAGAAUUUUGGAUCGGAGCCCGGGUGGUCGGCAACGGUCGCCCGGGAGAUCUGAGAAAUCAUUCCAGCUUGGUCAUCUAGAGGAAGUAAAAGUCGUAACA
Molecule: ribosomal RNA, 330 nt
Filed under: uncultured eukaryote
Lineage: Eukaryota
Description: partial 18S ribosomal RNA
Rfam family: Eukaryotic small subunit ribosomal RNA
Source: RNAcentral